AAUUGACACGUUAAACAUGACUGCCAAGUAGUCAUUCAUGUUGUUAAUUAGGCUUAAUCAAAAUUCUUUUGGACAAAAGCUUUAGACCUUAUCUUCAUAAGUCUUUAAAAACAAGUUUUUGGGACCUUCUUCCUCAUUUCUCACAAGCUCAAACAAGGGAGAGAGAAGUCUAUUUUCCUCUUCUUCCAAGCUUUAUACUAGUGUUCUUGAGGUUUCUUCCAUCAAAGCUUUGGUAAGGAGCUCUUAAUCUUCUUUCUCUUUUUGUUUUUCUUACCAAAUUCGUGCAAGCUUCUCAUUCAUUGUUCCAAAAUUUCAUUUUUAUUCUUAGAAGUUUGAGACAUCAAGGACUUGAGCCCCUUGUUCAUCUAAGUCAUUUCAUGUAACAUCAUUCAAGGUAGAGGGAGGGGUGGUCUUUCCACUUCUUGAACCUUAAACUUGUUGUCUUUGGAAGCUAGGCUUCAUUGCAUGUUGUUUUGAUGUUCAAAUAUUCGUUGCUACUGCCUUGGCUGAAACUAGAGGAUAUGUUGUUUUUUCGGAAAUUUUAAGGUUAAAAAUUAUUUCUUUGGGUGUUAAAGCUUAGGGCUAGCCUUAAAUUUCACUUAAAUUGGAAUUUUCUAGCAAAAUUUAUGAAUAAAACAAGUUUAAUGGCAUUUUGUAAAAUAUGAAUCGGUCAUGAAAUUGAACUGAUUGUUAUAACUGUAUGGACUAUUUUACUUAAAGUUUUGACCUCAAAAAUGAGUUUAUUAGGUGUGGAAAUCUAGGGUAACAUAUAAGAUUCAUGAAAAAUUGAUUCUCGGAACACCUAGAACACUGAAAAUAAGUUAGGAGCAAAACUUUGUAAGAAUGAGUGGAAGAGUAAUUUUAGACAGUAAACAACUUAACAUUGAGAUCCAUGCCUCUAGAUAAGUUAACUUAGAAUUAUUUAUUUUUUGAAACUAUUGAUUUAACUGCUGUAUUUUGCUGAAAUAAAUUGCAAGAUCUGAUAACUAAAGCAUGUUCUGGAAUUGUGAUGAUUCUUUGCUGAUAAAAAUUACAUUGAUGCAUGCAUGUAUAAUUACUACUAUUAUUGGUGAAUGAUAAAACCAACAGAGUGUGAACUCUGGCAAAUAAUAUCUCUAGCGUGCGAGCUUAUAUUCAACUAUAUAUCUGUAUAUUGUUAUUUUAUCUAUAUGCGUUGUGGUUUAGGUUCGGGGGUGUUCGACCCUUGGCAAAUUGUUUGUUAUGAUUGUUAGAUGGUUGUAAUCAUAGUUGUUAUGUUGUCCAAUUGUUUUGUUUGACAAGUGGUUUCUACCACUUAAGGGACCACAAUUGGUACCCUAAGAGUAUUACAUAGGCCUAAGCCUCAUCUCUCUUUCUUAUUUGUUUGUUUGUACGUAUUUGUUGAUGCACGUGACACGAGGGCUACACACGCGAUGCAGUGGCAGAAGUAAAAAGGAUUGGAUGAAGAGUAAGGAACUAAUAAUUCUAUUUUCUUAUGUGAGAAAGUGAGAUUAUAUUAAGAAAAUGGAUGAUAGACAAAGAUACACUAGGAUGCAGUGGGUAAAGAGGUUCAAAGAACUUGGGGGAAAUUAGUGAGUGGUGACUAUUUGACAUUUAGUGGGGGAAUUAGUAACUCACAUGCCUCACUUUGUUAAUUACUCCUGACAGACUUCGAGACUAUGCUUUUUAAGUUAGGAGCUUGGGGAUUAGUGUACGAUGUAUCUGUAUGUGAUGAUUACUCUCGAAUGUCAUCCACAUGAUUAUGUAUAAGACCAUUAAUACCUGGGAGGAUUGGUGGCAAAGGUUGGGCCCUAAUAGGUGAGAAGUGUGUUAGUAACACGCUUAGUAUCUCGAGAGUGUUGUUUGCUUAGAGAACCCACACAUAGUGGUUAAUUAGGUUGCAUGUUAUCUUUGUUCAACUACUAUGUGUUUGUGGGGUUUGAGGAAUGAAGGCACCCCUACAACCAACAACUUUCAAGUUCAGGAGAUGUCGAGGGAGAUGCUCCCUCUGUGAACUUGGUGUAGUAGGCAGACAUAAAAAGUGUGGUUGUGUCACGAUACAUAUACGUCAUUUUACAUGUGUCACACUCUGGUGCACAUGGUGCCAAUAAAUAGAACAUAUGUUAUGCCCAUCACCAUCAAUUACUUUUGGUAUUGCUACAUUCCUUAGGGACUCGUUGACAACUAGAGUGGUUUAAAGAUAUAAGUUUUUAUCUAGGCAUAGAAGUGUUUUACGAUGCUGAAGAAUUCAUAGUGACCACAAUGAGAUUUGAUGCGAAAGGUAAUGUCUUGAGUUGGAGAUUUGAGUUAGUACGUCCCGUGUAAAUCCUGAGGAUCAAGGAGAUCUCACCGAUAUGACGCCCAAGGAGGAAGAAGGGUAACACAAGCUUCUAUGAGACUUAGAGCCUUCAUCUGAGGAGGAGGAGGAUUGAUUACCUUCCUUUGUCUAUACCUUAGGUGUAGUUUAGUACUUUUAGUCGGGUGACGAUUGAUAAUUUCCAAAAAUACUUAACUGAGACAUGUGGAUUUAGACAAUUAUCUUAUCUUUUCUCUUAUUUAGGACUUUGUUUAUGCUUUUUUGAUGUAAAUUGUUAAUUUGCAGUUUGUUCUCUUUAACUUGUUAUUUUGUCAGAUUUCACAUGCUUAUUGAUGGACCGUUUUGUAGAAUUUUUGAAUUGGAUCGAAUAACAAUUUUUUGGAGCAAGGUUCAAUGAAAGCUUGAAGUGAAAAUUCCAGCUUAAAUGUGCUUAAGUUGGGGUUGAGAGUCCAUAUUAAAGUUUCUUUUUGGAGAAGAUGAAAAACAAAGUUGUAGAGAAAAAUUGACUUCAGCAAAACAACUUUUGACUUAAGUUGAAUUUGGACAGAGGUGCAAAAUUGCAGUAUUUGUUUAAGCCCGAAGUUUUUGGCUUGAGCAAACACUCACUUAAGCGCAAUUUUUUUGGAUCUAUAUAAAUAGAUUCUCUCGUUCAUUUUAGGGCACACUUCUUCAUUUUGUAAAACACCUUCUUUACUAAAGUUCUUCUUCCCCAACUCUUUUCUUCCAUUGUUCCUCCAUUUUCCUUGCUUUUGGAAGUUAUUCAUGGAGAUGGGUAGCUAAACCUUCCAUUGUUGAGGCUAGAUUCUUUCCCAACCUUAUGCUCUCAUGUAUUUCUUUUAAAAUAGUAUUAUAUAUUCAUCUUGUUCUUAAAUAUUAGCUUUUUACUUCUAUGCUUGAUGCUUGUUAUAAUUUGGCCACUCGUAGCUUGGUUUUUGAAUGAGAUUGUUAUUGGAAAAUACUUUCUUUAUCUUGAACUAUGGUAAAAUGCCCAUUAAACCUCAAAGCUAGGAAUAGGAUGAAGGAUAAUGGCUAUCUUUGGGUCGUUGAGCUUAAAGCAAGUUCAUUUGUUAAAUGUGCAAGGGAUUGACAUUUAAUGGACGAACUUUGGUCUUUUCACCUAAGGAAUUAGGGAUUAGAAUAUCAUUUUUGAACUAUGACUAAUAUUAAUAUUGGAUUACAAGUAGAAUAUCAUAUUUUAGCCUAAAGAAAGUUUUGUUCAGAGAAAUCUAACCCCAACAACCUUUAUCACCUAAAAUUUAUAUCAUUUUAUUGUGUGUUUAUCAAAAAUUCCAAAAAUAUCAUAACUUGUAUCUUUGUUUUUGCUUUUUCUUUAUUGUUGAAUGUUAUGUUCAAAUCAUCCUUGUUUAUUUGUUAGUUUAGAUAAUAAAAACCUAUGAUAUUUACUAAGUAUUGCGCAAGUCUUCGUGGGUCGAUAACUCUUAUUUAUCAAAUACUACUUGAAGACUUGGUAUGCUUGCCAAUGACUCAAUAGUUAUCUGCAUUGAUCCUAGGAUCUUUUUUGAGAUUUUGAUGUAUUUUGAGGGGUAGGAUCUUCACUGUAAGUGUAUUUUUUGAUGUAACAAGUUUAUAUCGAUCGUUUCACUACUUUUACACUUUGGAUUGUAUCCAAAUUUCUUCUACCAUGACACUAUUUAUUUGCUUUAUUUAUGUACAAAGAUUUUGCAUUAUAAAUCUAUGUUCCUUUAUUUACA
RNAcentral lists this long non-coding RNA (4008 nucleotides) under Glycine max (soybean). RNAcentral's name for it is "long non-coding RNA (GMAX_LNC002146)". Lineage: Eukaryota; Viridiplantae; Streptophyta; Magnoliopsida; Fabales; Fabaceae. The record is from RNAcentral.